AUACGGAGGGUGCAAGCGUUGUCCGGAUUUAUUGGGUUUAUAGGGUUCGUAGGUGGCGUGUUAAGUCAGUGGUGAAAGCCUGCAGCUCAACUGUAGAGGUGCCAUUGAUACUGACAUGCUUGAGUAUGGACGAGGUAGGCGGAAUUUGUGGUGUAGCGGUGAAAUGCAUAGAUACCACAAAGAACACCGAUAGCGAAGGCAGCUUACUGGACCAUAACUGACACUGAGGCACGAAAGUGUGGGUAGCGAACAGGAUUAGAUACCCUAGUAGUCC
RNAcentral lists this ribosomal RNA (274 nucleotides) under uncultured bacterium. RNAcentral describes it as "partial 16S ribosomal RNA". It matches the Rfam family "Bacterial small subunit ribosomal RNA", at positions 523 to 796 of the family's 1533-position model. The record is from RNAcentral.